GCUUACGGCCAUACCAGCCUGGGUACGCCCGAUCUCGUCUGAUCUCUGAAGCUAAGCAGGGUCGAGCCUGGUUAGUACUUGGAUGUGAGACCGCCUGGAAAUACCAGGUGCUGUAAGCA
RNAcentral lists this ribosomal RNA (119 nucleotides) under Salmo salar (Atlantic salmon). Lineage: Eukaryota; Metazoa; Chordata; Actinopteri; Salmoniformes; Salmonidae. The record is from RNAcentral.